ACUCCUACGGGAGGCAGCAGUAGGGAAUCUUAGACAAUGGGGGCAACCCUGAUCUAGCCAUGCCGCGUGUGUGAUGAAGGCCCUAGGGUCGUAAAGCACUUUCGCCAGAGAUGAUAAUGACAGUAUCCGGUAAAGAAAGCCCGGCUAACUCCGU
Molecule: ribosomal RNA, 154 nt
Filed under: uncultured bacterium
Lineage: Bacteria
Description: partial 16S ribosomal RNA
Rfam family: Bacterial small subunit ribosomal RNA
Source: RNAcentral